AUCGCUUCUUGGCCUUUUGGCUAAGAUCAAGUGUAGUACUUGAAAACUGUACUUUAUUAAAAACAGAGCUAAUAUUGAUUUCUUACUCUUU
Molecule: small nuclear RNA, 91 nt
Filed under: Suricata suricatta (meerkat)
Lineage: Eukaryota; Metazoa; Chordata; Mammalia; Carnivora; Herpestidae
Description: U2 spliceosomal RNA (ENSSSUG00005007805.1)
Rfam family: U2 spliceosomal RNA
About the family: U2 is a small nuclear RNA (snRNA) component of the spliceosome (involved in pre-mRNA splicing).
Source: RNAcentral